GCCGGGGUCGCCUAGCAUGGUAGGGCGGCGGCCUGCUAAGCCGCUGGGGUUACUCCCCGCGCGGGUUCAAGUCCCGCCCCCGGCGCCA
This 88-nucleotide transfer RNA is filed under the name Stygiolobus azoricus. RNAcentral describes it as "tRNA-Ser". It matches the Rfam family "tRNA". Rfam says of the family: Transfer RNA (tRNA) molecules are approximately 80 nucleotides in length. RNAcentral also lists the same sequence under 2 other names. Lineage: Archaea; Thermoproteati; Thermoproteota; Thermoprotei; Sulfolobales; Sulfolobaceae. The record is from RNAcentral.